UUCAGGAACGAAACGGAGCGCGCGGAGAUGCACAUCGUUCAGUUUUUUGCGGCUUUGUGGAGCUAUUUAAAGUGCCGGGGAAACACAACUGACAGUACUGUAUUUGACAAUAAACAUCUUCAAUGGGGAAAAGUAACACGUGAUGGAUCACCGAACAGGUCAUUUUAAGCGUCCUGUAGGUGUGGAUUUUCGCUUGCCAGGACAACACCAACUCAAACUCCUCCACAGAAAAGC
Molecule: long non-coding RNA, 234 nt
Organism: Puntigrus tetrazona (Sumatra barb)
Lineage: Eukaryota; Metazoa; Chordata; Actinopteri; Cypriniformes; Cyprinidae
Exons: 3
Source: RefSeq, a predicted model, not a curated record